RNAcentral lists this unclassified non-coding RNA (407 nucleotides) under Hevea brasiliensis (rubber tree). The record is from RNAcentral. Lineage: Eukaryota; Viridiplantae; Streptophyta; Magnoliopsida; Malpighiales; Euphorbiaceae.
UGGAUCUGCAUAUUGGUAAUUCCAAACAAGUGCGCUUUCCUUGCUAUCUAUGAAAGAACCAUCAGUGGUUUCUGUGUAGAGGCUCAUUACAGGCUCAGCAAUCUGCUUCCAAUAAAAAUCUACUACUGCAACACAAGUUUCCCAUUUGGCAUCGUGAUUUGGCCUCACAAAAUAGCCAUGCUCUGCUGCAAGCCCUAGUGUUUCACACGAAGAAAACCACUGAGUUAAAGUCUUUGUGUCUUUUCCACUAACAAUGAAAACAAUAUUCUUUGGAUCCCUGCACAAGCUGUUUAAGAUACUGAUAACCUCUGCAUUUGGACCCUUGCUGAUAGAGUUUCUGACUGUCAUUGUACCAUCAUAAUCCAAAAGGAUUGCCCGGUGCUUGGUCCUUUUGUAAGCUGAUACAA